CUCGGCAUGCCUUCAAAGUAAUAUCUGUUGAUAAGACACUACCAAGAGAUUCAGUAACAUGAAAGGAAGUGAAAGAGAUGAGUUCCAUAUCGUGGCAUAAAUGCAUCCUAACAUUCAUGAGAAGAUAUGUACCUGCCAACUAGAGGUGAGUUUUUUUAUUUUUUCAAAAUUAUGUUAUACAUCAUGCUGUUUAACACGAUAUGUGGUUUAUCCUGUAUUAAAAACUGUAAUUUCGUAAUAUAUGUAUUUUGAUGAUGAUAGUUAGAUAGAGACAACCUUUUGUCAACGGACUUACUUGGCCUACUGACAGAAAGUAAACUUCAAUAUGUUUUUGGCUUCUGAUGUUGAGGACUCUAUGAUGGAAUACAUGCUGAGGAUGCAGAGACUGCGGAAGAAACAGAUACUGAGCUGAGGGUAAGGUCUCAGUAUUUUCAGUAAUUAAGCUUUGCUAUCAUUCUUUUGAUUUCUUUGUUCUGUAAUUCCUUGUUGUAGUGUGAACAGUGCGAUUUGCUUGAGUUUCCUGAGGAAAAAAUAAAUUGUUUUUUCUUUACAUGAAAGCAGAAGGAAAGUAACAAAUUUUAUUGCCGUUUGACUGAUGUUUCUGUUUGUAAGACUAUUGAAAAGAUUUCACUAUACGCUAGCUAUUUCAUUUAUUAAGCUAUGGAUUAUUUUUCUCACCUAAUUAAACAAUUCAACGGAUUUAUGCAGGUAGGUUCUUUCUCAUCUAUCUAUCUAUAUAUAUAAAGUUGGGACAAUAGAAGAUGAGUUGGCACCUCUCUUUGGCCAAGGAUUCUAUUUAUCUUUUUUCUCUCUCUCUCUCUUUUUUUUUUUUUUUUUUUUUUUUUUU
This 847-nucleotide long non-coding RNA is filed under the name Nicotiana benthamiana. RNAcentral describes it as "long non-coding RNA (NBEN_LNC021599)". Lineage: Eukaryota; Viridiplantae; Streptophyta; Magnoliopsida; Solanales; Solanaceae. The record is from RNAcentral.